GAAUGUAGCUUUAUCUGUGACAUGAUUCUUGGGGCCAGGGGCAGCAGUGCUGGUGCCAGGACCCUCAACACCUCUGAUUCCCUUGAAGUUGGACUUUGGGCCCUGGAGGCUCCUUGCACACAUCAGCAGCUGCAACAGUGGUAGCAUUGCCUUUGGUGGGCUGUGGUGACCUGGCUUGGAACAUUGGCAGUAGCUGCUUACAUCAGGCAAGGAGGAUUGUAAUUUGGCAGCUGGCAGAACUGUGCUUGGAGCACACCUGAGACAUCCCGGAACACCCUGACCUAUUGGAAGUGGGGGAUGAACCUCCAGCAGAGGAGGAGCACAGCGCUCUAAAUCUCUGAGGAGAAUUCUGGAAAAUCAAAGGGCACAGAACUGACUUGCCUCUGCUCCUGGAUAGACAGAACCAAAAUACACCCUGAAUAAGGAAAGUAAGCACGGUCUCCAUGAAGUACCAGGGGAAGAAAUCUCAAAUCAUCCCCAAACUCCAGAACUCUGUAACCUUUGCCCAGAUGGAAGUUGAACCCUUCGCAGUAUAAUCAGUGUUUUUUUUUUUUUAAGGCUAAACUUGAAAAAUCUACUUAUUGAUCUCAGACAGGUCAUUUUCCCCUUUUCUCUUUCCAACAGUGUUAACUCAUAUGUGCCUGGUACAUUUCAACUAUGGUUCUUACAAUUGGUAGCUUUGAACCAAGUUUUCAGAAUCCAUCUCACUUCCUUUUCUAUGCUUCCCACUCUUAAAGGUGAGGAAAUUCCAAUACAAAUUAUUUAGUACAACUAGACUCUGUCAGUAAAUGGAAUCAAGUCCCAAAGGUUUUAUGCUUUGACACAUUUCCAUUAUAUAUGGGUGGUAAUAAAGUGAAAUUAUUUCCUGCUUCCCCAAAGGCUUCCAGGUCAUAAUUUUGAACACCCAGAGUGUUACCACUUUAGAGUAAAAUUCUCAAAUCAAAAAGCAUUUAAGCAGUAAGUACAUCUCCUAAAAUACUUGAGAAGAGGAUGAAGGAGAAAAAGAAGGAAACUGCAUAUCAUAAGGUGUCUCAACAAACCAUAUUUGGAACCAUUGCUUUAACUUUCUUUUAGAAAGUUAGUGGUUUUUCUGCAAUAUUGCCAACUAAUGUAUAUUUCUGCUUGAAUCACUUCACUAAUUGUUGAUCCAGUGAUUUCUAAAUGAUUCCAGGCAACAACUUUUACUAAUUAUUUUUCACAUAGGUGAUUGAAUUGACUGGUUAUCUUGUUGUCAUGGAGACUAAACCUUUUAAAAAUUAUAUACUAGUAUAUAAUUUAUAUAUAUUACUCCUGUGUUAAUAACUUUUACUAUUAGCAGUUACCUUCACUAAGGAGGGAAGGCAGAAUGAUAAAGGCCUAAUACAUAUGUGCACAGGAGAAUUUAAAAAUGCACAAAGACACAUUAGCAUGAAAGCAUCACAAAUUAUGCAAAAGAAAGCAUUAUGAAACCAUAUUGGUAUAGAUACAUAAAUCAAAUAGCUCUGAAUUUUUCAGUAAACUUCUUUCAUAAGCAAAACCACAAUGAGAUAUCACCUGACACCUGUCAGAAUGGCUAUCAUCAAUAAGUCAACAAGUGUUGGCGAGGAUGUGCACUAUUGAUGGGAAUGUAGAUUGGUGCAGCUACUGUGGAAAACAGUAUGGAGUUUCCUCAAAGAAUUAAAUAUGAAUCGCCCACAGAUGAUUCCAGGAUCUGGUGGCAUUUGCUUCUUGGUCACCACCAAACUCGACCAGAAAAAAAAAAAAUUGAAAAUGGAACUGCCUUUUGACCCACGAUCCCACUUCUGGGAAUACAUCCUAAGAAACCCGAAACACUAAUUCAAAAGAAUAUAUGCACCCCUAUGUUCAUUGCAGCAUUAUUUACAAUAGUCAAGAUCUCAAACAGCCUAAGUACCCAUCAGUAGAUGAGUGGAUAAAAAAGCUGUGGUGCAUUUACACAAUGAAAUAUCACUCAGCAGUAAAAAAAAAAAAAAAAAAAAAAAAAAAAAAGGAAA
Long non-coding RNA from Myotis daubentonii (Daubenton's bat), 1991 nucleotides. RefSeq lists it as uncharacterized. The record is from RefSeq and is a predicted model, not a curated record. NCBI's taxonomy places the organism in Eukaryota, Metazoa, Chordata, Mammalia, Chiroptera, Vespertilionidae.